This is a long non-coding RNA of Aegilops tauschii subsp. strangulata, 1492 nucleotides long. RefSeq lists it as uncharacterized. The record is from RefSeq and is a predicted model, not a curated record. NCBI's taxonomy places the organism in Eukaryota, Viridiplantae, Streptophyta, Magnoliopsida, Poales, Poaceae.
AACUGAGCACUUUUCCUUCCUUCUCAGGCCGUUAGCAUUCCUAUCCGUUGGAUCGUCACUUUUAGGCUUCUUUGGCCGUCGGAUUUGCUCUUAAUCCCACCUAAAUCUCAUGUACAGGCUAACUCGCGCGCCAGGCUGCGCUAGCCUUCUCGGGCCGCUGCUCCGGUGGUUUUUUUUGUGCUUGGGAUUAAAUUGGGCCUAUAGGGCCUGUAAGAGCUUCUAAUCCGUCCAACCCAAAAGAACAGGACGCUCGCUACCCCUGGCUUUUGUUCCCAAUGUCUCUGGCUCCUAGCCUUCGUGUGGCGGUGCCUCUGAGGAGAUCGAUCCCUUCGUCCUCUCAGAAAUCUCGACCAACGAAAGAGCACAAUGGCCAAUCGAUCCCCUCGCCCUCUCUUUCUACCGCAUCGCCCAUCCUCCCGCCAAUUUUUUUUGUGCAAUCGCCAGUUUAGGGCUAGAGAGGUAACGGGCGGAGAGGCCAGACGACGGACAUGACGCAGGCUGUCGCAUCAAUCCAAUCUGGGACAACUCCAUGCGGUAAAGUUUGCUCAGGUUUCCGGACCGCCGCCGAUGCAGGCCGAGGCCAAUCGUCAUUUUGUUGUUCAGUAGUUCGUCGUGCGAAACUGCUCCGCUGUGGUUUGAAGGAAGCAAUCACUCUUCAGUUUUUGGAGGCAUUCAUGGUGGAUGAUGUGCUCCCCAUGCUGGCGGUGACUAAUGGAUUUAUCCGUGUAUGAUUUAUUCUUCCACCCAAAGAUGAUAUUGUGCUAAUAUCCUCCCAAUCCCAAUUUUGUACAGGGGUAUUCAUAAAUGGCUCUGGUUAAUUGGUUAGGGCAGAUCUUGGAGACUGAUUCUCACAUAUUUGGGAAUUGUUCAGUUCAUAAUCUAAAAUGGCUUUUGUACAGGUAAUUACAUCAAUUGGGCCUCCAAACAUUCUACUUUCAUGUUUUACUUUCUUAGAUAAAUACAAGGUGUGACAUGCAAAGAAAAUUUGUUUGACCCAUAUUAGUUACAGAAAGAAAACAGGAAAUAUUAAUGUCAUUGUUCGCAUUCUUCAUCGGAACUCAAGUAUAAGGCGAGCAUACACAACAAGGGAACAUAAAUAUUGCAGAGUAACACGUGUGUUCAACACGAUUUCCCAAUUAUUCAUGUUGAGGGAAUUUAACUAUGAUUACCUUCUGUUUAUUGCUAUUCUCCUAGGUAUCAAAGAAAUUGAAUAGUUAGUUUCACUAUUGCAGUUUGUUAGCAACUACCAUUCUUCAAUAAUGUCUGAAAUAAUAUAUAAACAGUUACCAAGUGAUGGAUAUCCUUUCCAUGGUUCAUAGUGUGUUAGCCACUUGAUCAUACUAAUGUAUGUUCCAGAAUUAAUUGGACCUAUUGUGUUUAGAAGAUUGUAUCUUUCCUAUUUGAUUUACUCCUUUAAUAUUUUUAAUGUAUCAGAUAUAAACAACAAUGGACUUAGAUGUUAAUUUUCAACUUUGUUAAUUUAGAUUUUGCA